UGGGAACGUACCCUUUGGUUCGGAACAACCCAGGAAAACUUGGGCUAAUACCGGAUAAGUCCGUAAGGAGAAAGAUUUAUCGCCAAAGGAUCGGCCCGCGUCUGAUUAGCUAGUUGGUAGGGUAAUGGCCUACCAAGGCUACGAUCAGUAGCUGGUCUGAGAGGAUGAUCAGCCACAUUGGGACUGAGACACGGCCCAAACUCCGUACGGGAGGCAG
This 217-nucleotide ribosomal RNA is filed under the name uncultured bacterium. RNAcentral describes it as "partial 16S ribosomal RNA". It matches the Rfam family "Bacterial small subunit ribosomal RNA", at positions 118 to 351 of the family's 1533-position model. The record is from RNAcentral.